This 476-nucleotide ribosomal RNA is filed under the name uncultured organism. RNAcentral's name for it is "partial 16S ribosomal RNA". It matches the Rfam family "Bacterial small subunit ribosomal RNA", at positions 334 to 801 of the family's 1533-position model. The record is from RNAcentral.
CACUCCUACGGGAGGCAGCAGUGGGGAAUAUUGCACAAUGGGCGCAAGCCUGAUGCAGCCAUGUCGCGUGUAUGAAGAAGGCCUUCGGGUUGUAAAGUACUUUCAGCGGGGAGGAAGGCGAUAAGGUUAAUAACCUUGUCGAUUGACGUUACCCGCAGAAGAAGCACCGGCUAACUCCGUGCCAGCAGCCGCGGUAAUACGGAGGGUGCAAGCGAUAAUCGGCAUUACUGGGCGUAAAGCGCACGCAGGCGGUCUGUCAAGUCGGAUGUGAAAUCCCCGGGCUCAACCUGGGAACUGCAUUCGAAACUGGCAGGCUAGAGUCUUGUAGAGGGGGGUAGAAUUCCAGGUGUAGCGGUGAAAUGCGUAGAGAUCUGGAGGAAUACCGGUGGCGAAGGCGGCCCCCUGGACAAAGACUGACGCUCAGGUGCGAAAGCGUGGGGAGCAAACAGGAUUAGAAACCCGUGUAGUCCCAUGAU